CUGGACUGUAACUGACGCUGAGGCACGAAAGCGUGGGGAGCAAACAGGAUUAGAUACCCUGGUAGUCCACGCUGUAAACGAUGAGUACUAGGUGUCGGGGGUUACCCCCUUCGGUGCCGCAGCUAACGCAUUAAGUACUCCGCCUGGGAAGUACGCUCGCAAGAGUGAAACUCAAAGGAAUGGACGGGGACCCGCACAAGUAGCGGAGCAUGUGGUUUAAUUCGAAGCAACGCGAAGAACCUUACCUAAGCUUGACAUCCCAAUGACAUCUCCUUAAUCGGAGAGUUCCCUUCGGGGACAUUGGUGACAGGUGGUGCAUGGUUGUCGUCAGCUC
Molecule: ribosomal RNA, 334 nt
Filed under: Clostridioides difficile
Lineage: Bacteria; Bacillati; Bacillota; Clostridia; Peptostreptococcales; Peptostreptococcaceae
Description: bacterial SSU rRNA
Rfam family: Bacterial small subunit ribosomal RNA
Source: RNAcentral